Molecule: small RNA, 28 nt
Filed under: Bombyx mori (domestic silkworm)
Lineage: Eukaryota; Metazoa; Arthropoda; Insecta; Lepidoptera; Bombycidae
Description: ovarian small RNA-16460
Source: RNAcentral
GCAGAAGGAUAGGUUCCGAAGCCCGGUC